RNAcentral lists this ribosomal RNA (409 nucleotides) under bacterium. RNAcentral's name for it is "partial 16S ribosomal RNA". It matches the Rfam family "Bacterial small subunit ribosomal RNA", at positions 355 to 776 of the family's 1533-position model. The record is from RNAcentral.
UGGGGAAUAUUGCACAAUGGGCGAAAGCCUGAUGCAGCGACGCCGCGUGAGGGAUGACGGCCUUCGGGUUGUAAACCUCUUUCAGCAGGGGCGAAGCGCAAGUGACGGUACCUGCAGAAUAAGCACCGGCUAACUACGUGCCAGCAGCCGCCGUAAUACGUAGGGUCCAAGCGUUGUCCGGAAUUACUGGGCGUAAAGAGUUUGUAGGCGGUUUGUCGCGUCGUUUGUGAAAACCAGCAGCUCAACUGCUGGCUUGCAGGCGAUACGGGCAGACUUGAGUACUGCAGGGGAGACUGGGAUUCCUGGUGUAGCGGGGAAAUGCGCGGAGAUCAGGAGGGAAACCGGUGGCGAAGGGGGGUCUAUGGGCAGUAACUGACGCUGAGGAACGAGAGCGUGGGUAGCGAACAGG